RNAcentral lists this small RNA (1036 nucleotides) under Homo sapiens (human). RNAcentral describes it as "chromosome 2 open reading frame 92 (ENSG00000291598.1)". The record is from RNAcentral. Lineage: Eukaryota; Metazoa; Chordata; Mammalia; Primates; Hominidae.
GGAGCUGGGCUGGUGUGCGCGCGGCCGGAGUCUGUGGAGCUGGAAAUUCACCGGUCCAGGAAGACGUCUUUCCCGCGUCCCAGCACCGGUCCAGAAAGACGUCUUUCCCGCGUCCCAGCACCUCGGGCCACGCUCCUUCGUGAGAGCGCCCUCUCCAAGGAGGCCGGCCCUGGAUAUUUCACCCAAAAUAUUUAUUUUUUCUUUUUUUCUAGGCUCCUGUUUUCCUAAUAGCAUGAACAGCCCCCCCGUCAGCUCCUACCCCUUGGUCUCUGACCUGUUCCUCCUCCGAGGUGACCUCUAUCCUGAAUUUUGAAAACAUAUUAGUAUUGCCUGUUUCUGGACUUUGUGCAGAUGAAGUCAUUGGUUCUCCCUCUGUCACCCAGAGCUGGAGUGCGGUGGCAUAAUCACAGCUAAUUGCAGCCUCAACAUUCCAGGCCCAAGGAUCCUCCCUUCAGCCUUCCAGAUGGAGUGUCGCUCUCUCACCCAGGCUGGAGUGCAGUGGCGCUAUCUUGGCUCACUGCAACAUCUGCUUCCCAGGUUCAAGUGAUUAUCCUGCCUCAGCCUCCCAAGUUGCUGGGAUUACAGGCGUGUGCCACCACGCCUGGCUAAUUUACUAAACUAAUAAAUUACUAAAUUAAGUCGGGGGUCUCCCUAUGUUUCCCAGGCUGGCCUCGAACUCCUGACCUCAAGUGAUCCUCCCACCUCAGCCUCCCCGAGUGCUGGGAUUAAAGACGUGAGCCACGGCACCUGGCCUGAAUUUUCCUCAAAUUCAAAAAAUCCUGAUGAAGGUUUGGCUAAAAUCUUUGGUGAGUUACCCCACUCCCUGUGGAACCUCAGGCUGGAUUUGAAGAGUUGCGUGCAUGGUCCUCAUUGUCUCCCAGGUAACCUGUUCCCGCUGCUGUGAAGGGAAGGCAGGUGCUCUUCCUUGAGGCUAGAAUCUGUCUACGUGUCACAGUCUCAGGAAAUUAAGCAAAACAGAUGAUAAACACCUCAAAAGGACCCUACUGAGCAUCAGUGGAGCAGAGCAGGGCCAUGU